AGUAAUACAAGGCAGACGGCUCAGUAACGCGUAGUCAAUCUACCCUAUGGACGAGGAUAACCUCGGGAAACUGAGAAUAAUACUCGAUAGAACACUAUGCCUGGAAUGGUUUGUGUUUGAAAUGAUUUAUCGCCGUAGGAUGGGACUGCGGCCUAUCAGUUUGUUGGUGAGGUAAUGGCCCACCAAGACUAUUACAGGUACGGGCUCUGAGAGGAGUGGCCCGGAGAUGGGUACUGAGACACGGACCCAGGCCCUAUGGGGCGCAGCAGGCGAGAAAACUUUGCAAUGUGCGAAAGCACGACAAGGUUAAUCCGAGUGGUUUCUGCUAAAGAAACCUUUUGUUAGUCCUAGAAACACUGAUGAAUAAGGGGUGGGCAAGUUCUGGUGUCAGCCGCCGCGGUAAAACCAGCACCUCAAGUGGUCAGGAUGAUUAUUGGGCCUAAAGCAUCCGUAGCCGGCUAUGUAAGUUUUCGGUUAAAUCUGUGCGCUUAACGUACAGGCUGCCGGGAAUACUGCAUAGCUAGGAAGUGGGAGAGGUAGACGGUACUCGGUAGGAAGGGGUAAAAUCCUUUGAUCUAUUGAUGACCACCUGUGGCGAAGGCGGUCUACCAGAACACGUUCGACGGUGAGGGAUGAAAGCUGGGGGAGCAAACCGGAUUAGAUACCCGGGUAGUCCCAGCUGUAAAC
This 687-nucleotide ribosomal RNA is filed under the name uncultured marine archaeon. Its description in RNAcentral is "bacterial SSU rRNA". It matches the Rfam family "Archaeal small subunit ribosomal RNA", at positions 70 to 758 of the family's 1478-position model. The record is from RNAcentral.